RNAcentral lists this ribosomal RNA (315 nucleotides) under Triticum aestivum (bread wheat). Its description in RNAcentral is "partial small subunit ribosomal RNA". The record is from RNAcentral. Lineage: Eukaryota; Viridiplantae; Streptophyta; Magnoliopsida; Poales; Poaceae.
AUGAUUGAUGUAGUUUCACUGAAUCAAAAUACUGAUGCCUUUUCCCUUCUCCGUGACAACUUUCAGAGAACUAGGAAAGUAAUGGUGGACUCUCAUGAAGCACAAAGACAGAUAAUGUUUGAGGCAAAUUCCUUCACCGGCCCUGCGUAUGAGAAAUUCUGCAAUGAUGCCCAGCGGCAUGCUACUCUCAAGCUGGAGGUCGAGCUUAGGAACUGGAGGUCCUGCUUCAUGAGCUACGUCAGUGCUCAGAAGGCGUACAUCGAAUCCCUUGAUGGUUGGUUGUCCAAGUUCAUGCUCACAGACACCAUCCGUUAA